CUUAGAUGGACUUUAACAGUCCCAUAAACA
Molecule: transfer RNA, 30 nt
Filed under: Thylogale stigmatica (red-legged pademelon)
Lineage: Eukaryota; Metazoa; Chordata; Mammalia; Diprotodontia; Macropodidae
Description: partial tRNA-Phe
Source: RNAcentral